This 2923-nucleotide ribosomal RNA is filed under the name Klebsiella aerogenes. RNAcentral's name for it is "bacterial LSU rRNA". It matches the Rfam family "Bacterial large subunit ribosomal RNA". Lineage: Bacteria; Pseudomonadati; Pseudomonadota; Gammaproteobacteria; Enterobacterales; Enterobacteriaceae. The record is from RNAcentral.
GGGUUGUGAGGUUAAGCGACUAAGCGUACACGGUGGAUGCCCUGGCAGUCAGAGGCGAUGAAGGACGUGCUAAUCUGCGAAAAGCGUCGGUAAGGUGAUAUGAACCGUUACAGCCGGCGAUGUCCGAAUGGGGAAACCCAGUGUGAUUCGUCACACUAUCGUUAACUGAAUACAUAGGUUAACGAGGCGAACCGGGGGAACUGAAACAUCUAAGUACCCCGAGGAAAAGAAAUCAACCGAGAUUCCCCCAGUAGCGGCGAGCGAACGGGGAGCAGCCCAGAGUCUGAAUCAGCUUGUGUGUUAGUGGAACGGUCUGGAAAGUCCGACGGUACAGGGUGAUAGUCCCGUACACCAAAAUGCACAGGCUGUGAACUCGAAGAGUAGGGCGGGACACGUGGUAUCCUGUCUGAAUAUGGGGGACCAUCCUCCAAGGCUAAAUACUCCUGACUGACCGAUAGUGAACCAGUACCGUGAGGGAAAGGCGAAAAGAACCCCGGCGAGGGGAGUGAAAAAGAACCUGAAACCGUGUACGUACAAGCAGUGGGAGCACCUUCGGGUGUGACUGCGUACCUUUUGUAUAAUGGGUCAGCGACUUAUAUUCUGUAGCAAGGUUAACCGUAUAGGGGAGCCGCAGGGAAACCGAGUCUUAACUGGGCGUUAAGUUGCAGGGUAUAGACCCGAAACCCGGUGAUCUAGCCAUGGGCAGGUUGAAGGUUGGGUAACACUAACUGGAGGACCGAACCGACUAAUGUUGAAAAAUUAGCGGAUGACUUGUGGCUGGGGGUGAAAGGCCAAUCAAACCGGGAGAUAGCUGGUUCUCCCCGAAAGCUAUUUAGGUAGCGCCUCGUGAAUUCAUCUUCGGGGGUAGAGCACUGUUUCGGCUAGGGGUCAUCCCGACUUACCAACCCGAUGCAAACUACGAAUACCGAAGAAUGUUAUCACGGGAGACACACGGCGGGUGCUAACGUCCGUCGUGAAGAGGGAAACAACCCAGACCGCCAGCUAAGGUCCCAAAGUCACAGUUAAGUGGGAAACGAUGUGGGAAGGCACAGACAGCCAGGAUGUUGGCUUAGAAGCAGCCAUCAUUUAAAGAAAGCGUAAUAGCUCACUGGUCGAGUCGGCCUGCGCGGAAGAUGUAACGGGGCUAAACUGUGCACCGAAGCUGCGGCAGCGACACUAUGUGUUGUUGGGUAGGGGAGCGUUCUGUAAGCCUGCGAAGGUGGCCUGUGAGGGUUGCUGGAGGUAUCAGAAGUGCGAAUGCUGACAUAAGUAACGAUAAUGCGGGUGAAAAGCCCGCACGCCGGAAGACCAAGGGUUCCUGUCCAACGUUAAUCGGGGCAGGGUGAGUCGACCCCUAAGGCGAGGCCGAAAGGCGUAGUCGAUGGGAAACAGGUUAAUAUUCCUGUACUUGGUGUUACUGCGAAGGGGGACGGAGAAGGCUAUGUUAGCCGGGCGACGGUUGUCCCGGUUUAAGCAUGUAGGCGGAGGUUCCAGGUAAAUCCGGUACCUUUUUAACGCUGAGGUGUGAUGACGAGGCACUACGGUGCUGAAGUAACAAAUGCCCUGCUUCCAGGAAAAGCCUCUAAGCAUCAGGUAACAUUAAAUCGUACCCCAAACCGACACAGGUGGUCAGGUAGAGAAUACCAAGGCGCUUGAGAGAACUCGGGUGAAGGAACUAGGCAAAAUGGUGCCGUAACUUCGGGAGAAGGCACGCUGAUAUGUAGGUGAAGCCCCUGCGGGUGGAGCUGAAAUCAGUCGAAGAUACCAGCUGGCUGCAACUGUUUAUUAAAAACACAGCACUGUGCAAACACGAAAGUGGACGUAUACGGUGUGACGCCUGCCCGGUGCCGGAAGGUUAAUUGAUGGGGUUAUCCGUAAGGAGAAGCUCUUGAUCGAAGCCCCGGUAAACGGCGGCCGUAACUAUAACGGUCCUAAGGUAGCGAAAUUCCUUGUCGGGUAAGUUCCGACCUGCACGAAUGGCGUAAUGAUGGCCAGGCUGUCUCCACCCGAGACUCAGUGAAAUUGAACUCGCUGUGAAGAUGCAGUGUACCCGCGGCAAGACGGAAAGACCCCGUGAACCUUUACUAUAGCUUGACACUGAACAUUGAGCCUUGAUGUGUAGGAUAGGUGGGAGGCUUUGAAGCGUGGACGCCAGUCUGCGUGGAGCCAACCUUGAAAUACCACCCUUUAAUGUUUGAUGUUCUAACGUUGGCCCCUUAUCGGGGUUGCGGACAGUGUCUGGUGGGUAGUUUGACUGGGGCGGUCUCCUCCCAAAGAGUAACGGAGGAGCACGAAGGUUAGCUAAUCCUGGUCGGACAUCAGGAGGUUAGUGCAAUGGCAUAAGCUAGCUUGACUGCGAGCGUGACGGCGCGAGCAGGUGCGAAAGCAGGUCAUAGUGAUCCGGUGGUUCUGAAUGGAAGGGCCAUCGCUCAACGGAUAAAAGGUACUCCGGGGAUAACAGGCUGAUACCGCCCAAGAGUUCAUAUCGACGGCGGUGUUUGGCACCUCGAUGUCGGCUCAUCACAUCCUGGGGCUGAAGUAGGUCCCAAGGGUAUGGCUGUUCGCCAUUUAAAGUGGUACGCGAGCUGGGUUUAGAACGUCGUGAGACAGUUCGGUCCCUAUCUGCCGUGGGCGCUGGAGAAUUGAGGGGGGCUGCUCCUAGUACGAGAGGACCGGAGUGGACGCAUCACUGGUGUUCGGGUUGUCAUGCCAAUGGCAUUGCCCGGUAGCUAAAUGCGGAAGAGAUAAGUGCUGAAAGCAUCUAAGCACGAAACUUGCCCCGAGAUGAGUUCUCCCUGAGACUUUAAGUCUCCUGAAGGAACGUUAAAGACGAUGACGUUGAUAGGUCGGGUGUGUAAGCGUAGCGAUACGUUGAGCUAACCGAUACUAAUGAACCGUGAGGCUUAACCUUACAACGCCGAAG